AGUUGUCAAAUCAAACAAAAUCAAGGGAGAUUAGUGGUCGCUCUCCUAUACACGGAAUUCGACAAAAAUUGCCAAAAUCAUACCAACCUGUUAGUGUUAGCAAAUUGCUUGGAGCUUCUUAUCAACCUUUUGGGCACCACACCGGCUUCAAAAAAGUAGACUUUCUUAUCUUCCGAAUUUGUUUUUGAGCUUGAGCGACACACCGCGACUGACUGCCGGUAAGGCCAUCUCUGUCUCACGAAUCCAUAUGUACCCACUUACUUCCAGGUAUGUCGAUUCAACGCUGCUGCUGUCGAAAAUAAGUGAUGUUGUAAUUUUACCUUCCUCUACUAAGGUUUGGUAUUUGUAUCUCUGUGCGAUACCGCGUGUGGACCUGCAUAAGCUGACCGGGCGAGACUUGAUACCGCCUCAGUUGCUCGGUUGAUUAGGUCGUGGAUAGCGCGCGGUUUCAAGUUCGGAGUGUGAAAUUUGUGUCGCCAGUUUUUUCGGUGGAUCAAGGUUAAGUUUAAAUCCGUCGGAAGAUUGGACGGAUUAGCUCUGCAGAUCGUAGCAUCGUGGACCAUCGAGCUCUGCACCAUACUGACUUCGCCUCAGAUUUUAACUUCAUCGACUCCCAGUUCGGAUAAGUUCUGAUUUAUCUGUGAAUGUGCCAGUUGUUUUUAGUUUGAUCAGUGUUUCUGUUAUUCUACCUUUUAUUCUCUUUUGUUAUGUUAUCAUUUAAAACAUAAAUAAAUUGCUGCAAGUUACAAUUCAA
Long non-coding RNA from Aedes albopictus (Asian tiger mosquito), 754 nucleotides. RefSeq lists it as uncharacterized. Lineage: Eukaryota; Metazoa; Arthropoda; Insecta; Diptera; Culicidae. The record is from RefSeq and is a predicted model, not a curated record. The transcript is spliced from 2 exons.